Camelina sativa (false flax) is the source of this 85-nucleotide non-coding RNA. The record is from RefSeq and is a predicted model, not a curated record. Lineage: Eukaryota; Viridiplantae; Streptophyta; Magnoliopsida; Brassicales; Brassicaceae.
UACGCAUAGGUCCUUAUGUUUGUGCUGAGUGCAACUUUGGGGGGUUCCCAGUGUGGCUGCGUGAUGUUCCUGGCAUAGAGUUUCG